UCCCUGGUGGCUCAGGUGGUAAAGCGUCUGCCUACAAUGCAGGAGAUCCAGGUUCAAUCCCUGGGUCGGGAA
RNAcentral lists this transfer RNA (72 nucleotides) under Bos taurus (domestic cattle). It matches the Rfam family "tRNA". From Rfam's summary of the family: Transfer RNA (tRNA) molecules are approximately 80 nucleotides in length. Their secondary structure includes four short double-helical elements and three loops (D, anti-codon, and T loops). Further hydrogen bonds mediate the characteristic L-shaped molecular structure. tRNAs have two regions of fundamental functional importance: the anti-codon, which is responsible for specific mRNA codon recognition, and the 3' end, to which the tRNAs corresponding amino acid is attached (by aminoacyl-tRNA synthetases). tRNAs cope with the degeneracy of the genetic code in two manners: having more than one tRNA (with a specific anti-codon) for a particular amino acid; and 'wobble' base-pairing, i.e. permitting non-standard base-pairing at the 3rd anti-codon position. Lineage: Eukaryota; Metazoa; Chordata; Mammalia; Artiodactyla; Bovidae. RNAcentral also lists the same sequence under 1 other name. The record is from Rfam by way of RNAcentral.